GAUGAACGCCGGCGGCGUGCCUAAUACAUGCAAGUCGAGCGGAUGGAUUAAGAGCUUGCUCUUAUGAAGUUAGCGGCGGACGGGUGAGUAACACGUGGGUAACCUGCCCAUAAGACUGGGAUAACUCCGGGAAACCGGGGCUAAUACCGGAUAACAUUUUGAACCGCAUGGGUCGAAAUUGAAAGGCGGCUUCGGCUGUCACUUAUGGAUGGACCCGCGUCGCAUUAGCUAGUUGGUGAGGUAACGGCUCACCAAGGCAACGAUGCGUAGCCGACCUGAGAGGGUGAUCGGCCACACUGGGACUGAGACACGGCCCAGACUCCUACGGGAGGCAGCAGUAGGGAAUCUUCCGCAAUGGACGAAAGUCUGACGGAGCAACGCCGCGUGAGUGAUGAAGGCUUUCGGGUCGUAAAACUCUGUUGUUAGGGAAGAACAAGUGCUAGUUGAAUAAGCUGGCACCUUGACGGUACCUAACCAGAAAGCCACGGCUAACUACGUGCCAGCAGCCGCGGUAA
Molecule: ribosomal RNA, 515 nt
Filed under: uncultured bacterium
Lineage: Bacteria
Description: partial 16S ribosomal RNA
Rfam family: Bacterial small subunit ribosomal RNA
Source: RNAcentral